This 492-nucleotide ribosomal RNA is filed under the name uncultured bacterium. RNAcentral describes it as "bacterial SSU rRNA". It matches the Rfam family "Bacterial small subunit ribosomal RNA", at positions 903 to 1397 of the family's 1533-position model. The record is from RNAcentral.
AAAGGAAUAGACGGGGCCCCGCACAAGCGGUGGAGCAUGUGGCUUAAUUCGAUGCAACGCGAAGAACCUUACCAAGGCUUGACAUGCAGUGGACCGGCGCUGAAAGGCGUCUUCCCUUCGGGGCCGCUGCACAGGUGCUGCAUGGCUGUCGUCAGCUCGUGUCGUGAGAUGUUCGGUUAAGUCCGGCAACGAGCGCAACCCCUGUCCUUAGUUGCCAUCAUUUAGUUGGGGACUCUAAGGAGACUAACUCUUUUUAAGAGUGGGAAGGUGGGGAUGACGUCAAGUCAGUAUGGCCCUUACGUCUUGGGCUGCACACGUGCUACAAUGCCCGGUACAAUGGGUUCCGAAACCGCGAGGUGGAGGCAAUCCCCAAAGCCGGGCCUAGUUCGGAUUGGAGUCUGCAACUCGACUCCAUGAAGCUGGAAUCGCUAGUAAUGACGCAUCAGCAACGGCGUCGUGAAUACGUUCCCGGGGCUUGUACACACCGCCCGU